UGGGGAAUAUUGGACAAUGGGCGCAAGCCUGAUCCAGCCAUGCCGCGUGAGUGAUGAAGGCCCUAGGGUUGUAAAGCUCUUUCACCGGUGAAGAUAAUGACGGUAACCGGAGAAGAAGCCCCGGCUAACUUCGUGCCAGCAGCCGCGGUAAUACGAAGGGGGCUAGCGUUGUUCGGAUUUACUGGGCGUAAAGCGCACGUAGGCGGACUAUUAAGUCAGGGGUGAAAUCCCGGGGCUCAACCCCGGAACUGCCUUUGAUACUGGUAGUCUUGAGUUCGAGAGAGGUGAGUGGGAUUCCGAGUGUAGAGGUGAAAUUCGUAGAUAUUCGGAGGAACACCAGUGGCGAAGGCGGCUCACUGGCUCGAUACUGACGCUGAGGUGCGAAAGCGUGGGGAGCAAACAGG
This 404-nucleotide ribosomal RNA is filed under the name Actinomycetes bacterium. Its description in RNAcentral is "Actinobacteria bacterium partial 16S ribosomal RNA". It matches the Rfam family "Bacterial small subunit ribosomal RNA", at positions 355 to 776 of the family's 1533-position model. The record is from RNAcentral. Lineage: Bacteria; Bacillati; Actinomycetota; Actinomycetes.